Molecule: long non-coding RNA, 1081 nt
Organism: Wasmannia auropunctata (little fire ant)
Lineage: Eukaryota; Metazoa; Arthropoda; Insecta; Hymenoptera; Formicidae
Exons: 3
Source: RefSeq, a predicted model, not a curated record
CCGGAAUAAAACAGCGUGAGGACACCGGCGCGCGGCGCGGCGGCAAGAAUUAAAAAGGUGUGCGAACGUUGGCGCGUCUCGAGGUUGGCGAUCCCUCGAUUACUCCUGAUAAUAGAUAGUAAAGGAUAAUGCACGGUGAUAAAGGAUAACCUCACGUACCUCGGGAUAAUAUUCCUGCAAAGGGUUUUCUCGAUUUUUCGCGAACAUCCUGCGAUAAAACUAACAAGAUGACGGUCUGUGAGAUAAUUGGGAGACUCUUAAGGGUUUCAGUGCGUUUCCCGCGUUCUUAAGAGUCACAAGCAAGUUCCGAGGAAUUUGUGAGGAUAUUUAUUUUGGACAAACACUGCCGGUUCUUUCGAACAGUUUGACGUCGCCUGCGUCGAUUCUGUGAGUUUUAUUGUUAGUGAUAUGUCGAUAUUAGCAGCGAAAUUUUAAGUGCAAUAUCAUCGAUUAAUUUUACUGUGGGACAUCCUGACUCAUCGAGAAUUAUUGAAGAAAGUGCCGUACAUUCGUGAAACUCAUGAUUUGCGUCGUUCAUCUUUCUACGCAUCUUUCAUGUCAAAAGUAGAACUGCAGCGUGUAAAAGCGUCGCAAAAUCCCUUCUCGGACACGUCGAUAUCGGUGCUCGUGUAACGAAGAAUAAAACCAUAAUACGAGCAUCGAGGGAAGGUGCGAUCAUCACUCGGCAUGAAGGAUGGUUGACAUAGUCGAGCAGCGAGACAAGCAAUCAAAAACACGCUCGAGUACUUUGUCGAUGUAACCGCGUCCCAGGAGUCACGCGUGAAUGCGAAACGAAACGAGCGGUAACCGUACGUGUGCAGCGAGUUCACUUCGCUGUUUUAUGGACAGUCGAUUUGAUGAAUUACAUUGAACGAUUCAUUUCGCGUGCAAAUAAAUUUUGCGGUGCGUAGUUUAAUAACGCCGAUAAAAAUCUUUCUCAACGCGGCUUACAACUCAAUUGUCAACUUUUACGCGAAUUGGUGUGUUGAAGAGAUAUACAUAUGCGAGGUUUCAACCGUGUAACAUUUGCAAUGAGCGAUCUUUUUACAAUUUUAAUUUCUGUCAAACCGAUUCAUAUAUA